Non-coding RNA from Capsicum annuum, 216 nucleotides. The record is from Rfam. NCBI's taxonomy places the organism in Eukaryota, Viridiplantae, Streptophyta, Magnoliopsida, Solanales, Solanaceae.
AUGACCUUACUGGAACUUGAUUUGUUCUAUAGGCUUUUACCACUAUAUCCUUGUGUUCUAAGGAGAUAGUAAACCAAGUCUAGUAUAUAAAACAUGGAAACAAGAUUAGAGUGUGAUUAACCACCUUCUUUCCUAUUAGGGGUCAUGGUGUUGUAAAUGAACAUUCUCAGCCUGGUCCGUUGGGCUUAAGGUGGUGUCAUAGUUGUAUGACAGACU